RNAcentral lists this ribosomal RNA (100 nucleotides) under uncultured bacterium. RNAcentral's name for it is "partial 16S ribosomal RNA". It matches the Rfam family "Bacterial small subunit ribosomal RNA", at positions 1401 to 1500 of the family's 1533-position model. The record is from RNAcentral.
ACCAUGGGAGUCAGUAACGCCCGAAGCCAGUGACCCAACCUUAGGGAGGGAGCUGUCGAAGGCGGGACCGAUAACUGGGGUGAAGUCGUAACAAGGUACC